This 2893-nucleotide ribosomal RNA is filed under the name Abditibacteriota bacterium. Its description in RNAcentral is "23S ribosomal RNA". It matches the Rfam family "Bacterial large subunit ribosomal RNA". Lineage: Bacteria; Pseudomonadati; Abditibacteriota. The record is from RNAcentral.
UCAAGUUAGAAAGGGCACACGGUGGAUGCCUUGGCAAUUGGAGCCGAAGAAGGACGUAGUAAGCAACGAAAAGUCUCGGUCAGGCGCUUACAGCCGUAGCCGGGAAUAUCCGAAUGGGGCAACCCUCUGGAGGAAGACUCCAGAACUCCCGUAUGAAUCUAUAGUACGGUGAGAGGCAAGCCGCUGAACUGAAACAUCUAAGUAAGCGGAGGAGAAGAAAGCGAAUGCGAUUCCCCAAGUAGUGGCGAGCGAAACGGGAACAGCCUAAACCGGUUCUGUUUAUUCAGGGUCGGGGUCGUGGGGUACAUCACAAUGGGUAGCGAACUGUAGACGAAUCUCUUUGGAACAAUGAACCAUAGAAGGUGAAAGUCCUGUAGUCGAAACGGCAAGCUAUCUAGAUGUAUACCCGAGUAACGCGGAACUCGUGGAAUUCUGCGUGAAUCUGGGGAGACCACUCCCUAAGGCUAAACACUCCAAUUGACCGAUAGUGCACUAGUAUCGUGAGAGAAAGGUGAGAAGCACCCCGAGAGGGGAUAAGCUGUCCCUGAAGCCGUGUGCCUACAAGCAGUCGGAGCCCUACGAUUUAUCAGGGUGACGGCGUGCCUUUUGUAGAAUGACCCUGGGAGUUAUUGUAUGCAGCAAGGUUAAGGCCGGAGGGCCGCAGCCGUAGCGAAAGCGAGUCUGAAAAGGGCGUCAAGUUGCAUGCAGUACACCCGAAACCGAGUGAUCUACCCAUGGACAGGCUGCAGGCGCUGUAAAAGGCGUUGAAGGGCCGAACCAGUGGCGGUUGAAAACGCUUUGGAUGAGCUGUGGGUAGUGGUGAAACGCUAAACGAACUCGGAUAUAGCUGGUUCUCCCCGAAAUAGUUCGAGGAUUAGCCUCACAUGUUUUACAACGGUGGUAAAGCACUGAAAGGGUUAGGGGGCCCACAAGCCUACCGACCCCUAUCAAACUCUGAAUGCCGUUGUUUUAGAGUGUGGGAGUGAGACGGCCGGGGAUAAGCUUGGUCGUCGAGAGGGAAACAGCCCAGACCGUCAGUUAAGGUCCCCAAGUUCUGGCUAAGUGGUUAACGAGGUGAUUUUGCUCAGACAAUCAGGAGGUUGGCUUAGAAGCAGCCACCCUUUAAACAGUGCGUAAUAGCUGACUGAUCGAGUGAGGUCGCGCGGAAAAUUCAACGGGGCUCAAGCCAGGCACCGAAGCUACGGAUUGAUGGAGGUUUUUACCUUCGUCAGUGGUAGGGGAGCGUCGUAUAGUAGGUUGAAGGUCGAGCGGAAGCGCGGCUGGACGAAGUACGAGUGCGAAUCCAGGGAUGAGUAGCGAAAAGCAAAGUGAGAAUCUUUGCCGCCGUAAACCUAAGGUUUCAGGGACAAGGUUCGUCCUUCCCUGUUGAGGCGGGAGCUAAGGCGAGGCCGAAGGGCGUAGUCGAUGCACAGCAGGUUGAUAUUCCUGCCCCGCUAGCGAAUUGUAACUCAUGCGUCGGUUGGUUAGCCUACUCCCACGAGGAGAUGGUCGUCGAUUCAAAGGACGAUCACGAGAGCUUAGCUCGUAGUGGUGAAACCUAUACGGCCCGGAAAAGUGAGUUGCGUUAGUUCGUUAGCGCCCGUACCGCAAACCGACACAGGUAGGUGAGGAGAGUAUCCUCAGGCGCGCGAGAGAACCCACGUUAAGGAACUCGGCAAUCUGUACCCGUAACUUUGGAAGAAGGGUAGCCCCGCACUGGUGAGCGUACUAGCUACGCGAAGCGAGGGGGGGCCGCAGAGAAUCGGCUCAAGCGACUGUUUACCAAAAACAUAGGUCUCUGCGAAGCCGUAAGGCGACGUAUAGGGGCUGAUGCCUGCCCAAUGCCGGAAUGUUAAGAGGAGAGGUUAGUCGCAAGGCGAAGCUUUGAAUUGAAGCACCGGUCAAUGGCGGCCGUAACUAUAACGGUCCUAAGGUAGCGAAAUUCCUUGUCGGGUAAGUUCCGACCUGCACGAAUGGCAUAACGACUUGAGCGCUGUCUCAACGUGGGACUCGGCGAAAUUGUAUUACGAGUGAAGAUGCUCGUUUCUCAUAGCAAGACGGAAAGACCCUGUGGAGCUUUACUGUAGCUUGUCAUUGAGUCGUUGGAACGAAUGCAGAGGAUAGGUAGGAGGCUAUGAAGUAGUCCUUUCGGGGAUUAUGGAGCCAACGGUGGAAUACUACCCUUUCGUUCUGACGGCUCUAACCUACACCCUGAUCGGGUUUAGGAACCGUGGCAGGCGGGCAGUUUGACUGGGGCGGUCGCCUCCUAAAUGGUAACGGAGGCGUGCAAAGGUCCACUCAAGACGGUUGGCAAUCGUCUGUAGAGCGCAAUAGUAAAAGUGGGCUUGACUGCGAGACUUACAAGUCGAGCAGGUACGAAAGUAGGCUAUAGUGAUCCGACGGUAGAAAGUGGGAUCGCCGAAGCUCAACGGAUAAAAGCUACCCCGGGGAUAACAGGCUUAUCUCUCCCAAGAGUUCAUAUCGACGGGGAGGUUUGGCACCUCGAUGUCGGCUCGUCGCAUCCUGGGGCUGUAUUAGGUCCCAAGGGUUGGGCUGUUCGCCCAUUAAAGCGGCACGCGAGCUGGGUUCAGAACGUCGUGAGACAGUUCGGUCCCUAUCUGCUAUGAGCGUAGGAAAAUUGAGGGGAGUUGUCCUUAGUACGAGAGGACCGGGAUGAACAGACCUCUGGUGUACCGGUUGUGCCGACAGGUGCAAACGCCGGGUAGCUACGUCUGGAUCGGAUAAGCGCUGAAAGCAUCUAAGUGCGAAGCCGACCCCAAGAUGAAUUUUCCCAACUAGUAAGACCCCUUGAAGAUAACAAGGUGGAUAGGUCGCGAGUCGAAGAGUGGCAACACUUGCAGCUAAGCGAUACUAAUCGGUCGAGGACUUGAUC